RNAcentral lists this transfer RNA (65 nucleotides) under Columbicola macrourae. Its description in RNAcentral is "tRNA-His". The record is from RNAcentral. Lineage: Eukaryota; Metazoa; Arthropoda; Insecta; Psocodea; Philopteridae.
AAAAUAGUAGUUUAUUUAUAGAAAAUACCUUUUUGUGGAAAAGGUGAAGGCUUGGUCCUAUUUUG